UAUUGUGAGAUUGGGCUGUGAGAUUGGAAGAUUAGUCCGGCCCGGUGAGAUGUAUGUCGUCUCUAAACCUAAUUCGGAGAGUUUGUCUCUCUUCUAGCGGUGGCAACGCGGUGAUCUUUGAGCUUCUUCUCACGUUCUGAAACGGUCGGAUUUAUGACUUCUCCUUUAAUCCCGUUGUUUCUCUUCCCCAUGAUGUCUCUUCAAAGCGUUGUUUAGAUCUAAGAGGCGGUGUGAGUUCAGAAUAAAUAUAUGUGAAAACCCUCUCUUGAUUGUGUGGAAGAAAGCAUUGGUUCAUUUUCCUACAGAGCCACCAGAGAAGCGGGUGUAUGAUCCACCACAAGGUCAAGGCAUAAAGCUCGAGUCCGAAGAGGAAGCUGUUGGAGAGAAAGGCGACAAGUCUUGGUUGAGAGUCUCUUUGGCAUCUACAGAGCAUCUCAGCUAGUCCGAUGUAAGGGUUCUAUUAUUGUGUGAUAAACCUAAUACCAGGGGACUACCAUCAGAUACACUCUCCGGCUGACUGGAAUGAAUUGGUUCGUUGACAAUUUGCAGGCCUGUUGUAUCCUGUGAAUGAGUAGCUAUUAGAACGAUAAAAAUUCUCUGUGUUGAAAAUGAAAGGGUCGUGCUUGAAGGGAUAUGGAAACAAGGUUUUAUGGCACUUGCUGCUGUUGGUGCUACCAACAUUGGAUCCAUUGAGCUUUUCAUCGAACCUGAACUAAGAACAAACAAGCCAAAGAAACUGUUUCCUGCAGCCUCUUCUAUUGUGUAGAAGAAAGCUUUGGUUCGUUUAUGCAUAUACAAACGUUAAUGACUAAUGUUUUGUAUCUCAUUUUCGAGAAACAAAGGUUGCUGGCAAAAUUAGCGAACACCACUAGGCUUUCAAUGGGGAGAUGUCAAACUGAGACGACUGGGUGUUUGUCAAAGACUGUUUAUUUUCUUUUCUUUUUUACUAUGCUUUUACAGGGUUAAAAAUAAGGAAACAGAACUUGACGAGUAUAUGGUCUACACGAUUGAUAGAGAAGAAAAUAAUCAAAUGGAGACUAAAGAUAAAAAUUGUUUAGAAGACUCCAGUUGAGCUUAGCUAAGGCUAAGGAAAGUCGUCGUGGUCAAGCAAAUGAAGUUUUCUCCGUCACGAGUCUGAGAGAAACGUGUUCCAAGCUGAGCCCCUCAUAGCUUUCAAGAUUCCUAACACAUUUUUCAUUUUUAAUUAAAUUUUGUUGCAUUAAUUUGGAAAUAAAUUGCAAAUCAACACGAGACAUAACUCACAAGA
Raphanus sativus (radish) is the source of this 1267-nucleotide long non-coding RNA. RefSeq lists it as uncharacterized. NCBI's taxonomy places the organism in Eukaryota, Viridiplantae, Streptophyta, Magnoliopsida, Brassicales, Brassicaceae. The record is from RefSeq and is a predicted model, not a curated record. The transcript is spliced from 6 exons.